Molecule: ribosomal RNA, 870 nt
Filed under: Pterandra pyroidea
Lineage: Eukaryota; Viridiplantae; Streptophyta; Magnoliopsida; Malpighiales; Malpighiaceae
Description: eukaryotic LSU rRNA
Rfam family: 5.8S ribosomal RNA (bases 395-550)
Source: RNAcentral
GUCCGGUGAAGUGUUCGGAUGGCGGCGACGCGAGCGGUUCGCCGCCCGCGACGUCGCGAGAAGUCCACUGAACCUUAUCAUUUAGAGGAAGGAGAAGUCGUAACAAGGUUUCCGUAGGUGAACCUGCGGAAGGAUCAUUGUCGAAACCUGCCCAGCAGAACGACCCGCGAACCGUGGUUAAACCGCGUCGAGGGGUGCGGGCGGCGCAGCCCCCGGGCCCCUUGGCGAUUCCCCGGAGGCGCCGGAGGCAUACGUGGCUCGGGCGACCGAGGGGGACUCACAACAAAACCCGGCGCAGAACGCGUCAAGGAAAACGAAAUAGGGCAGGAUCGUCCCGUCGACCCCGGAGACGGUGCGCGACGGGACGCUCCGCCAGGAAUUCACGAAUCGAAACGACUCUCGGCAACGGAUAUCUCGGCUCUCGCAUCGAUGAAGAACGUAGCAAAAUGCGAUACUUGGUGUGAAUUGCAGAAUCCCGUGAACCAUCGAGUCUUUGAACGCAAGUUGCGCCCGAAGCCUUUUGGCCGAGGGCACGUCUGCCUGGGUGUCACACGACGUUGUCCCACCACCGACCCAGUACGAGCUGCGGAAGGAAGGAGGGACGGAUGCUGGCCUCCCGUGAGUCACCUCUCGCGGCUGGCCCAAAUGCGUGUCCGGGCGAUUGGAGCCACGACGAACGGUGGUUGAACGACCCUCGGCGCAGGUCGUGGACUCCGGUCGCAGGAGCGGGCAACGGGACUCCGCGCGCUCUUCGGAGCGCCGCAACCGCGACCCCAGGUCAGGCGGGACCACCCGCUGAGUUUAAGCAUAUCAAUAAGCGGAGGAAAAGAAACUUACCAGGAUUCCCCUAGUAACGGCGAGCGAACCGGG